GAGUUUGAUCCUGGCUCAGGAUGAACGCUAGCGGCAGGCUUAACACAUGCAAGUCGAGGGGUAAAUAGUAGCAAUACUAUGAGACCGGCAAACGGGUGCGGAACACGUACAGAACCUACCUUUAUCUGGGGCAUAGCCCGGAGAAAUCCGGAUUAACUCCCCAUAGUAUCAGUUGGUGGCAUCAUUGAUUGAUUAAAAAUUUAUUGGAUAAAGAUGGCUGUGCGUCCCAUUAGCUAGUUGGUAGGGUAACGGCCUACCAAGGCGACGAUGGGUAGCUGGUGUGAGAGCACGACCAGCCACACGGGCACUGAGACACGGGCCCGACUCCUACGGGAGGCAGCAGUGAGGAAUAUUGGUCAAUGGACGCAAGUCUGAACCAGCCAUGCCGCGUGAAGGAUGAAGGCCUUCUGGGUUGUAAACUUCUUUUAUGUGGGAAGAAACCCCUUGUUUCUACGAGGGUUGACGGUACCAUAGGAAUAAGCACCGGCUAACUCCGUGCCAGCCGCCGCGGU
Molecule: ribosomal RNA, 512 nt
Filed under: uncultured Sphingobacterium sp.
Lineage: Bacteria; Pseudomonadati; Bacteroidota; Sphingobacteriia; Sphingobacteriales; Sphingobacteriaceae
Description: bacterial SSU rRNA
Rfam family: Bacterial small subunit ribosomal RNA
Source: RNAcentral